Panicum virgatum (switchgrass) is the source of this 500-nucleotide long non-coding RNA. RefSeq lists it as uncharacterized. The record is from RefSeq and is a predicted model, not a curated record. The transcript is spliced from 3 exons. Lineage: Eukaryota; Viridiplantae; Streptophyta; Magnoliopsida; Poales; Poaceae.
UGUUCUUGGAGCACCUGGAUCUGGAAAGACGACCUUCUUAAGGGCACUGGCAGGAAAAUUAGAUUCUUCUUUGAAGGUAAAUCGAAUUUUGCAGCAACUUCAUUCCUGAAAAUCAGUGUAAAUAGCAGAACAAGUAACAGAUGGUGACACACAUAUAUAUAACAUUGAUAAUGAAAACCAUGUGUGCAUAUCAUUGGUAUCAUGUUAUUUCUUGCUUACAGUUGAAGGGAAAGGUAUUCUACAAUGGGAAAUCAAGAUCUUCUACACCACACUACCUUUGUCCUUAUGUCAGUCAACAUGAUCUCCAUCUUGCUGAGAUGACAGUGAGAGAGAUAAUUAAUUUCUCCUCCAACCUGCUUGGAUCAAACAAUGAGUUUGAGAUACUGGGAGAUGCAAUAGAAAGAAAUACAGAUACUAAUAAAGUGUACAAGGAACUUUUUUCUAAGGCAACCAAGCUCGGAAGCAAGAGAAGCAACCUAAAAACUAAUUAUAUUAUCAAG